Molecule: long non-coding RNA, 2821 nt
Organism: Pteropus alecto (black flying fox)
Lineage: Eukaryota; Metazoa; Chordata; Mammalia; Chiroptera; Pteropodidae
Exons: 2
Source: RefSeq, a predicted model, not a curated record
CAAUCAGCAGGGGAGGGGGCGAGGCCAAGGUAAGAGAGCAGCCAGCCGGCGCGCGGAAUCCGGAGGAAUUUACUGGGCUACGCUGGAACACUGACCAAUCCGCGGUCCCAGGAGUUUCACUGUGUUUACUACCGACCGAAUCUGUCACAGAAGUCUGCAGUCUCCAAAACCAACCUCCCCCAAAACAAAGCUGGACACGUGGAACGGUCGCGGACUUCUCCCGGACGCUGUCAGAAAAGAGCAAGCUCUGGGGCGGCUCCCGAGAUCCCAGGUGCCUUCGGAUGGAGAACCCGAGCCCUGAGGGAGACCGGCCGGCGUGUCCUCCUAGGGCGCCCGGCACUGGGGCAGGAAAAAGCCCUCCUUCCUCCGAGGGGUGAAGAGGAAAGAAGAAAGCUCGUAAGAGCCCUUCUGGGGCGGUUGAGGGUGGCGGUGGGGUUUGUAGGUUGGAGUGGCGCAGCUAUCCGGGAGCUCGGAGGCUUGGCUCUGGAGACAAAAGCAGGUUGGGGAAUGCCUCUGGAUUCUUUUAGGAGGAGGGAUGGAAAGAGGCGACUAUUUUUUUAAAAAGGAACAUCCCGCUGUGUCAGAACUUAACACCCAAAUAUUAUUACAGCUGAUCCGUCUCUCCAGACGUUACAGAUUGGAAAUAUUGCCCUUGGAGUUUUAUUCUUUAAAGCCUCAAUGAAGUCUGAUGGUAUAUUCUGUUCUUUAAGAUUCCCUGACAGUUAUAGCACUUACAGAUGUUUUAUUGCCAGAUUGAACCGUAAAAUAAUAAUAAAAAAUAUAUAUGGAAGGCUGACAAUAAGCCAAGCGAUGGAAGAUUUAAAACAAAUAAAGGCAGUGAAACUGAUGGAACUGAGAAGUUCUAAAGACUUAACGGUAUUCUCCCUUAAGUGUGCUCUUUUCCGUUUUUUUGUGUUCCUCCUAGGAAGUGAAUUCCUGAGGGAAUGAUCGUUUAUUUUCAUUCUUAUAUCUUCCAAAGUGCCUUGGAUAGUGUUAGAAGACAGAAUGAGGGUUUUUAAAGAUCUGGAAGGUUUUUUUGGAGUGAAAUUGGACAGUGUGUAUUAAGAAUUUUUUGAUGUAUUCAUGUUCGUUGACUCAUUAAUUCACACCCUAGGACUCCAACAAAAGGAAUCCAUCCAAAAAAGGCAGACAAAGUUUUAUGCUUAAAAAGAUCGCAAGCAACGUGGCAUGUAACAGUAAAAAAAAAUUGGGAAUAGCCUAAAUGAUCAACUAAAGGAUUGGAUGUAUAAACUCUGUGGCAACAUUUAAUGGACUAUAAUGUGAGAUUUGAGGAAAGGAGGAUACAAAAUUGAAUACAAUAAUAUAUCAAAUAUAUAAACAUAUUCACAGAGAGGAAUCUGGAAAGAAAGAAAAUAUUAACAAUGUUUGCCUUUAGGCAGGGAAGGGAUCAUGGGUACUAGAGUUGCACUCUUUAUAUUUUUCUGUAUUUUCCCCAAUAUUGGACAUCAAAAUUACAUUGGUUUGAUAAUUAUUUUUAAAUCUAAUAAAUGUUGGGAAAAAUUAAAGUAUCUGAGUAAGCUAAAUCUAUAAAGCUCCGAAUCUUUGUUUUACAAAAAGAUGCAUGGAUGAUGUGACUUAGCAGAAGCAAUGUCAAGAAACUUUGUUUAUUAACCCUAAAUAAGUUAAUUCAACAGUAAAAAUGCUUAGAAUAAAAGCACAUAUUGAUUUCAUUAGGAGAGACAUGGAGAGUAGCAUAAGGGAGAUAAUGGGUCCUCUUUGUUCUGUUACCCAGCCUUAAACUGGAGUAUUGAUACAUGUGGGAGCCCACAGUUUGAAAAGGAUCCAGAUGUAUUGGUGUAUGUCCAGCAGUAGUGGCCAGGAUGAAGAGAGACCUAGAAACAUCGGUGUGUAAAAUAGCUGAGGGGCUCAAGGAGUUGCUGAGGAGAAGAGCAGAUACAUGGAAAGUAUGAUUGGAGUAGUCAGACUUGAAGGGCUCAAGGCAGAGGAGUUGGUUGUGUUCUAUCUGGCCCUGGAGAGCAGAACUGGAACCACAGGGGAAAGCUACAGAAGACAGAUUCAGCUCCGUGUAGCAAACAACUUGUCCAAGAUGAAAAGUCUUCCUUAUAAUAAAUGAGUCGUCCAUAUCUGUAGGUAUGCAAACAGAAUCUGCAUCAGAAAUACGAAGGAAGAGAAAGGAAAAGACAGAAGGGAGAACAGGAGAGUGAGACAAACAGAGAAAGAGAGAAAGGAAUAAAAAAGAGAUGCAGGGGCCGAAGACAGGAAGAGAAAAGGUGAAGCAGAAGAAACAUUUCUAGAGUACACAGUAAGUUGCUGCAAACACACUGUGGCAUCUGAAUUGCCUUUUCAGGUCUUCAUUAGCGAUAUCUUGAAAUGCCAGCAGAUGGAGAUAUUACCCCAGGAAAAGAGGACUCUGCCUUCUCAUUCCUUACUUUCAAAAUAUGUAUCAAGUUUUCCUCUUUUGAAAAAUGAUGCUAAGAGACAACUCUGAAUUUCCAAACCAAAUUUAUAAACAAAUAUUUGUCAUAAAUUCUGCUUGUGAUUACCCUGAUUCUGAUUUAGAAGAGGUCACUAUAGUUUUUUGCAUUUUAGUCAUUGAGUAGGGCUCCAUCUUGCCCCACCCCACUAUCUAUACAUGUAUUUAUGUGUAUAUGGUGUAUAUGUGUUUUGAAUCAUUGUUAAAUAACUAAGCAACAUAGGUAUACCAUAGUCCCCUUCUCAACCGCCCUGUCAUUAACACUUCCCUUCCCCAGAGAUGACUUCUGUCACUUUGAAUUCUUGCCUGUGGUAAUUCUGGGAGUUCACUCUCUAACCUAGCUAUAAAGUAGCCAAUUCUGAGGAC